RNAcentral lists this ribosomal RNA (274 nucleotides) under uncultured bacterium. RNAcentral's name for it is "partial 16S ribosomal RNA". It matches the Rfam family "Bacterial small subunit ribosomal RNA", at positions 523 to 796 of the family's 1533-position model. The record is from RNAcentral.
AUACGGAGGGUGCAAGCGUUAUCCGGAUUUAUUGGGUUUAAAGGGUUCGUAGGUGGAUCAAUAAGUCAGUGGUGAAAGCCUGUGGCUCAACCAUAGAACUGCCAUUGAUACUGUUGAUCUUGAGUACACUUGAAGUGGGCGGAAUGCGUCAUGUAGCAGUGAAAUGCAUAGAUAUGACGCAGAACACCGAUUGCGAAGGCAGCUCACUAAAUUGUAACUGACGCUGAGGAACGAAAGCGUGGGGAGCGAACAGGAUUAGAAACCCUUGUAGUCC